GUUCGGAUCGCAGGCUGCAACCCGCCUGCGUGAAGUUGGAAUCGCUAGUAAUCGCGGAUCAGCAUGCCGCGGUGAAUACGUUCCCGGGCCUUGUACACACCGCCCGUCACACCAUGAGAGUCGGGAACACCCGAAGUCCGUAGCCUAACUUUAACGAGGGGGCGCGGCCGAAGGUGGGUUCGAUAAUUGGGGUGAAGUCGUAACAAGGUACC
This 212-nucleotide ribosomal RNA is filed under the name uncultured bacterium. Its description in RNAcentral is "partial 16S ribosomal RNA". It matches the Rfam family "Bacterial small subunit ribosomal RNA", at positions 1291 to 1500 of the family's 1533-position model. The record is from RNAcentral.